GUAGGGAAUAUUGGGCAAUGGAGGCAACUCUGACCCAGCCAUGCCGCGUGCAGGAUGAAGGCGUUAUGCGUUGUAAACUGCUUUUAUAUAGGAAGAAAAAGACCUUGCGAGGUAGAUUGACGGUACUAUAUGAAUAAGCACCGGCUAACUCCGUGCCAGCAGCCGCGGUAAUACGGAGGGUGCAAGCGUUGUCCGGAUUUAUUGGGUUUAAAGGGUGCGUAGGCGGUUUAUUAAGUCAGUGGUGAAAGACGGUCGCUCAACGAUUGCAGUGCCAUUGAUACUGGUAGACUUGAGUGUGAUUGAGGUAGCUGGAAUGGAUAGUGUAGCGGUGAAAUGCAUAGAUAUUAUCCAGAACACCAAUUGCGAAGGCAGGUUACUAAGUCACAAAUGACGCUGAUGCACGAAAGUGUGGGUAUCAAACAGGAUUAGAAACCCUAGUAGUCC
Molecule: ribosomal RNA, 444 nt
Filed under: uncultured bacterium
Lineage: Bacteria
Description: bacterial SSU rRNA
Rfam family: Bacterial small subunit ribosomal RNA
Source: RNAcentral